GAUCCUGGCUUAGGAUGAACGCUAGCGGCAGGCUAACACAUGCAAGUCGAGGGGCAACGCGAGUAGCAAUACUUGGCGGCGACCGGCGCAAGGGUGCGUAACGCGUGAGCAACAUGCCCGUAUCAGGGGGGAUAAUCCAAGGGAAACUUGGUCUAAUACCCCAUAGUAAUUUUGUAAGGCAUCUUAUAAGAUUUAAAGCUUUGGUGGAUACGGAUUGGCUCGCGUGACAUUAGCUGGAUGGUAAGGUAACGGCUUACCAUGGCUAUGAUGUCUAGGGGUUCUGAGAGGAAGGUCCCCCACACUGGAACUGAGACACGGUCCAGACUCCUACGGGAGGCAGCAGUGAGGAAUAUUGGACAAUGGAUGGAAAUCUGAUCCAGCCAUGCCGCGUGAAGGAAGAAGGUCCUAUGGAUUGUAAACUUCUUUUGUAUGGGAGCAAUAAGGCCUACGAGUAGGUUGAUGAGAGUACCAUACGAAUAAGCACCGGCUAACUCCGUGCCAGCCGCCGC
This 509-nucleotide ribosomal RNA is filed under the name uncultured bacterium. RNAcentral describes it as "bacterial SSU rRNA". It matches the Rfam family "Bacterial small subunit ribosomal RNA", at positions 15 to 518 of the family's 1533-position model. The record is from RNAcentral.